UAGGGAAUCUUCGGCAAUGGACUAAAGUCUGACCGAGCAACGCCGCGCGAGUGAAGAAGGUUUUCGGAUCGUAAAACUCUGUUGUUAGAGAAGAACAAGGACGUUAGUAACUGAACGUCCCCUGACGGUAUCUAACCAGAAAGCCACGGCUAACUACGUGUCAGCAGCCGCGGUAAUACGUAGGUGGCAAGCGUUGUCCGGAUUUAUUGGGCGUAAAGCGAGCGCAGGCGGUUUCUUAAGUCUGAUGUGAAAGCCCCCGGCUCAACCGGGGAGGGUCAUUGGAAACUGGGAGACUAGAGUGCAGAAGAGGAGAGUGGAAUUCCAUGUGUAGCGGUGAAAUGCGUAGAUAUAUGGAGGAACACCAGUGGCGAAGGCGGCUCUCUGGUCUGUAACUGACGCUGAGGCUCGAAAGCGUGGGGAGCAAACAGG
Molecule: ribosomal RNA, 429 nt
Filed under: Gemmatimonadota bacterium
Lineage: Bacteria; Pseudomonadati; Gemmatimonadota
Description: Gemmatimonadetes bacterium partial 16S ribosomal RNA
Rfam family: Bacterial small subunit ribosomal RNA
Source: RNAcentral